Molecule: ribosomal RNA, 423 nt
Filed under: uncultured cyanobacterium
Lineage: Bacteria; Bacillati; Cyanobacteriota
Description: bacterial SSU rRNA
Rfam family: Bacterial small subunit ribosomal RNA
Source: RNAcentral
AGAGUUUGAUCCUGGCUCAGGAUGAACGCUGGCGGUAUGCCUUACACAUGCAAGUCAAACGAGAGUUUUUAACUCAAGUGGCGGACGGGUGAGUAACACGUGAGAAUUUGCCUUUAGGAGGGGGAUAACAGCUGGAAACGGCUGCUAAUACCCCAUAUGCUUUCGAGUGAAAUGGAGUAAUCCGCCUAAAGAGAAGCUCGCGGCUGAUUAGCUUGUUGGUAAGGUAAUGGCUUACCAAGGCGACGAUCAGUAUCUGGUUUGAGAGGACGAUCAGACACACUGGAACUGAGACACGGUCCAGACUCCUACGGGAGGCAGCAGUGGGGAAUUUUCCGCAAUGGGCGAAAGCCUGACGGAGCAAUACCGCGUGAGGGAAGACGGCCUAUGGGUUGUAAACCUCUUUUUUCAGGGAGGAAUAACUGA